UCCGGUUUAACACCGGCGGUCUCCUUAGAGUGCCCAACUAAAUGGUGGCAACUAAGGACAAGGGUUGCGCUCGUUAAGGGACUUAACCCGACAUCUCACGAUACGAGCUGACGACAGCCAUGCAGCACCUGUCUCUCGGUCCCCGAAGGGAAAGCCCUAUCUCUAGGGAUGUCCGAGGAUGUCAAACCCAGGUAAGGUUCUUCGCGUUGCAUCGAAUUGAACCACAUGCUCCACCGCUUGUGCGGGCCCCCGUCAAUUCCUUUGAGUUUUAAUCUUGCGACCGUACUCCCCAGGCGGGGUACUUCCUGCGUUAGCGCCGGCACCCAAGGGGUCGCUCCCCCAGGCACCUAGUACCCAUCGUUUACGGCGUGGACUAC
This 377-nucleotide unclassified non-coding RNA is filed under the name uncultured delta proteobacterium. Its description in RNAcentral is "contains 16S-23S intergenic spacer region". The record is from RNAcentral. Lineage: Bacteria; Deltaproteobacteria.